This 76-nucleotide transfer RNA is filed under the name Chlorobiota bacterium. RNAcentral's name for it is "Chlorobi bacterium (hot springs metagenome) tRNA-Phe". It matches the Rfam family "tRNA". From Rfam's summary of the family: Transfer RNA (tRNA) molecules are approximately 80 nucleotides in length. Lineage: Bacteria; Pseudomonadati; Chlorobiota. The record is from RNAcentral.
GGUCAGGUAGCUCAGGUGGUAGAGCAGGGGACUGAAAAUCCCCGUGUCGGGGGUUCGAAUCCCUCCCUGACCACCG